ACGAACGCUGGCGGCGUGCCUAAUACAUGCAAGUAGAACGCUGAAGAGAGGAGCUUGCUCUUCUUGGAUGAGUUGCGAACGGGUGAGUAACGCGUAGGUAACCUGCCUUGUAGCGGGGGAUAACUAUUGGAAACGAUAGCUAAUACCGCAUAACAAUGGAUGACACAUGUCAUUUAUUUGAAAGGGGCAAAUGCUCCACUACAAGAUGGGCCUGCGUUGUAUUAGCUAGUAGGUGAGGUAACGGCUCACCUAGGCGACGAUACAUAGCCGACCUGAGAGGGUGAUCGGCCACACUGGGACUGAGACACGGCCCAGACUCCUACGGGAGGCAGCAGUAGGGAAUCUUCGGCAAUGGGGGCAACCCUGACCGAGCAACGCCGCGUGAGUGAAGAAGGUUUUCGGAUCGUAAAGCUCUGUUGUAAGUCAAGAACGAGUGUGAGAGUGGAAAGUUCACACUGUGACGGUAGCUUACCAGAAAGGGACGGCUAACUACGUGCCAGCAGCCGCGGUAAUACGUAGGUCCCGAGCGUUGUCCGGAUUUAUUGGGCGUAAAGCGAGCGCAGGCGGUUUGAUAAGUCUGAAGUUAAAGGCUGUGGCUCAACCAUAGUUCGCUUUGGAAACUGUCAAACUUGAGUGCAGAAGGGGAGAGUGGAAUUCCAUGUGUAGCGGUGAAAUGCGUAGAUAUAUGGAGGAACACCGGUGGCGAAAGCGGCUCUCUGGUCUGUAACUGACGCUGAGGCUCGAAAGCGUGGGGAGCGAACAGGAUUAGAUACCCUGGUAGUCCACGCCGUAAACGAUGAGUGCUAGGUGUUGGAUCCUUUCCGGGAUUCAGUGCCGCAGCUAACGCAUUAAGCACUCCGCCUGGGGAGUACGACCGCAAGGUUGAAACUCAAAGGAAUUGACGGGGGCCCGCACAAGCGGUGGAGCAUGUGGUUUAAUUCGAAGCAACACGAAGAACCUUACCAGGUCUUGACAUCCCGAUGCUAUUUCUAGAGAUAGAAAGUUACUUCGGUACAUCGGUGACAGGUGGUGCAUGGUUGUCGUCAGCUCGUGUCGUGAGAUGUUGGGUUAAGUCCCGCAACGAGCGCAACCCCUAUUGUCAGUUGCCAUCAUUCAGUUGGGCACUCUAGCGAGACUGCCGGUAAUAAACCGGAGGAAGGUGGGGAUGACGUCAAAUCAUCAUGCCCCUUAUGACCUGGGCUACACACGUGCUACAAUGGUUGGUACAACGAGUUGCGAGUCGGUGACGGCAAGCUAAUCUCUUAAAGCCAAUCUCAGUUCGGAUUGUAGGCUGCAACUCGCCUACAUGAAGUCGGAAUCGCUAGUAAUCGCGGAUCAGCACGCCGCGGUGAAUACGUUCCCGGGCCUUGUACACACCGCCCGUCACACCACGAGAGUUUGUAACACCCGAAGUCGGUGAGGUAACCUUUUGGAGCCAGCCGCCUAAGGUGGGAUAGAUA
This 1460-nucleotide ribosomal RNA is filed under the name uncultured organism. Its description in RNAcentral is "SSU rRNA". It matches the Rfam family "Bacterial small subunit ribosomal RNA". The record is from RNAcentral.